Long non-coding RNA from Lynx canadensis (Canada lynx), 977 nucleotides. RefSeq lists it as uncharacterized. Lineage: Eukaryota; Metazoa; Chordata; Mammalia; Carnivora; Felidae. The record is from RefSeq and is a predicted model, not a curated record. The transcript has 3 exons.
AGGAAAUAGAGCAUCUGAACAAAUAUCAAAUAUACAAUUAACCUUGAUAAAUCAAGCCUCAGAAGUAAAAAUUAAAAGGCGCCUGAUCACACAUGAUCUCCGUAAGGGAGCUGAUAACGAGCAGCAAAAUGGGGCAGUAGGAGUCCUAGCACAUCUUCUCUACCGUAUCCACCCCGAAGUUUUAUUGCUUGAUGAAGUCAUAUGAAGUUACGGAACCCAAGAGAGACCGGGGAGCAUCCUGGAUAUCUCACAGCUAUAACUUUCAGGUUUUAGGCUGACAGCAUCCAGCCUGCAGCCCGCUGCAAUCGAAAUACAUGCAUUUUUAGAAAUUAUACCUUUCAGUUAGCUGAAGGGGAAAACUUUCUUCUGGGAAUCAUCAUCUCGCCGAUAAAGAACUCUAAAAUCCCUGUGUGUGAUCAGCACAGUAGGGUAACGCGCAGGUGAUCCGGCUUAUCUCACCUAACGUGUCAAUGAGUUUUGCAAGCAGUUUUCUGGGGCUUUCGCUCAUUGGUGGUUUGGGCCUCAUUCAUGAUAUUCUUUAGAGACCUGGCCCAGCGCAGGCGGCGGAGAGUUGCCUGGGAAGAGGUAUAGACCGCACCCUGGUCACUCCGGGAAGCGCCCGAGCCCCAUUACCUCCCAGCCCAUCUGUCUCACUGCGCUCACGGAGCCCGGGGCUCUCCGAGGGGCAGCCCAGUUUUUCCUGCUAAGAACCCAAAGGACUUGCUCAGAGCUGGAAUUCGGCGAAGCAACUUGCUCCAACACGCCAAAUCUGCCGCAUCCCCAGUACCCCACCCUCCAGCUUCUGCGCUCGCUACCCACAACCCCAGCCUCAAUUUGACGACUCCCCGCCCCCACCACGCUGAGAGUCUCUAUCCUAACCCCUUGGGUGCGAGGAAGUGUCUGCGCGUCGGAGCGCGCCGGGCGCGGCGAGGCCACCAGUGACUCCCAGCGGCCGCACAGGGCGCUGCGCCCCCCUC